RNAcentral lists this ribosomal RNA (447 nucleotides) under uncultured Pelagibacterales bacterium. Its description in RNAcentral is "bacterial SSU rRNA". It matches the Rfam family "Bacterial small subunit ribosomal RNA", at positions 1072 to 1533 of the family's 1533-position model. Lineage: Bacteria; Pseudomonadati; Pseudomonadota; Alphaproteobacteria; Candidatus Pelagibacterales. The record is from RNAcentral.
GAGAGUGGGUAGUCCGCACGAGCGCACCUCACUUUUAGUUGCCAUCAUUAAGUUGGGCACUCUGUAAAGAACUGCCAGUGAUAAGCUGGAGGAAGGUGGGGAUGACGUCAAGUCCUCAUGGCCCUUACGUGUUGGGCUACACACGUGCUACAAUGGCAUCUACAACAGGAAGCAAAACGGCAACGUUAAGCAAAUCCCGAAAAGAUGCCUCAGUUCGGAUUGCACUCUGCAACUCGAGUGCAUGAAGCUGGAAUUACUAGUAAUCGUGGAUCAGCGUGCCACGGUGAAUGCGUUCCCGGGUCUUGUACACACCGCCCGUCACACCAUGGGAGUUGGUUCUACCUUAAGGCAAGGUUUUAAACCCUUGACCACGGUAUAGUCAGCGACUGGGGUGAAGUCGUAACAAGGUAGCCGUAGGGGAACCUGCGGCUGGAUUACCUCCUUUCU